This 447-nucleotide ribosomal RNA is filed under the name uncultured organism. RNAcentral's name for it is "partial 16S ribosomal RNA". It matches the Rfam family "Bacterial small subunit ribosomal RNA", at positions 333 to 797 of the family's 1533-position model. The record is from RNAcentral.
ACACUCCUACGGGAGGCAGCAGUGGGGAAUAUUGGACAAUGGGGGCAACCCUGAUCCAGCCAUGCCGCGUGAGUGAUGAAGGCCCUAGGGUUGUAAAGCUCUUUUGUGCGGGAAGAUAAUGACGGUACCGCAAGAAUAAGCCCCGGCUAACUUCGUGCCAGCAGCCGCGGUAAUACGAAGGGGGCUAGCGUUGCUCGGAAUCACUGGGCGUAAAGGGUGCGUAGGCGGGUCUUUAAGUCAGGGGUGAAAUCCUGGAGCUCAACUCCAGAACUGCCUUUGAUACUGGGGAUCUUGAGUCCGGAAGAGGUGAGUGGAACUGCGAGUGUAGAGGUGAAAUUCGUAGAUAUUCGCAAGAACACCAGUGGCGAAGGCGGCUCACUGGUCCGGUACUGACGCUGAGGCACGAAAGCGUGGGGAGCAAACAGGAUUAGAUACCCUUGUAGUCCC